Molecule: transfer RNA, 77 nt
Filed under: Bifidobacterium longum subsp. longum
Lineage: Bacteria; Bacillati; Actinomycetota; Actinomycetes; Bifidobacteriales; Bifidobacteriaceae
Also listed under: 2 other names
Description: tRNA-Met
Rfam family: tRNA
About the family: Transfer RNA (tRNA) molecules are approximately 80 nucleotides in length. Their secondary structure includes four short double-helical elements and three loops (D, anti-codon, and T loops).
Source: RNAcentral
GCAUUGCUAGCUCAGUAGGCCAGAGCACCCUGCUCAUAACGGGGAGGUCGUUGGUUCGAUUCCAGCGCAAUGCACGA